This 511-nucleotide ribosomal RNA is filed under the name uncultured bacterium. RNAcentral describes it as "bacterial SSU rRNA". It matches the Rfam family "Bacterial small subunit ribosomal RNA", at positions 17 to 518 of the family's 1533-position model. The record is from RNAcentral.
CUAUGGCUCAGGAUGAACGCUAGCUACAGGCUUAACACAUGCAAGUCAGGGGCAGCAUUGGGAUAGCUUGCUAUUCAGAUGGCGACCGGCGCACGGGUGAGUAACGCGUAUCCAACCUUCCUGCCAGUAGGGAACAGCCCGGCGAAAGUCGGAUUAAUGCCCUAUGUUCUUCAAUGCGGACAUCUAAGUUGAAGGAAAGAUUCAUCGCUGGCAGAUGGGGAUGCGUCCGAUUAGCUUGCCGGCGGGGUAACGGCCCACCGGGGCGACGAUCGGUAGGGGUUCUGAGAGGAAGGUCCCCCACACUGGUACUGAGACACGGACCAGACUCCUACGGGAGGCAGCAGUGAGGAAUAUUGGUCAAUGGGCGUAAGCCUGAACCAGCCAAGUAGCGUGCCAGGAUGACGGCCCUACGGGUUGUAAACUGCUUUUAUGCGGGGAUAAAGUGCGGCACGUGUGCCGCUUUGCAGGUACCGCAUGAAUAAGGACCGGCUAAUUCCGUGCCAGCCGCCGC